GACGAACGCUGGCGGCGUGCUUAACACAUGCAAGUCGAACGGAAAGGCCCUGCUUUUGUGGGGUGCUCGAGUGGCGAACGGGUGAGUAACACGUGAGUAACCUGCCCUUGACUUUGGGGAUAACUUCAGGAAACUGGGGCUAAUACCGGAUAGGAGCUCCUGCUGCAUGGUGGGGGUUGGAAAGUUUCGGCGGUUGGGGAUGGACUCGCGGCUUAUCAGCUUGUUGGUGGGGUAGUGGCUUACCAAGGCUUUGACGGGUAGCCGGCCUGAGAGGGUGACCGGCCACAUUGGGACUGAGAUACGGCCCAGACUCCUACGGGAGGCAGCAGUGGGGAAUAUUGCACAAUGGGCGGAAGCCUGAUGCAGCAACGCCGCGUGCGGGGUGACGGCCUUCGGGUUGUAAACCGCUUUCGCCUGUGACGAAGCGUGAGUGACGGUAAUGGGUAAAGAAGCACCGGCUAACUACGUG
RNAcentral lists this ribosomal RNA (469 nucleotides) under uncultured bacterium. Its description in RNAcentral is "bacterial SSU rRNA". It matches the Rfam family "Bacterial small subunit ribosomal RNA", at positions 28 to 507 of the family's 1533-position model. The record is from RNAcentral.